GGGUAUUUAGCUCAGUGGUGCAGGGCCUGCCUGGCAAGCAUAAGGUCCUGAGUUCAAUUCUCAGUACCCA
Molecule: transfer RNA, 70 nt
Filed under: Cavia porcellus (domestic guinea pig)
Lineage: Eukaryota; Metazoa; Chordata; Mammalia; Rodentia; Caviidae
Rfam family: tRNA
About the family: Transfer RNA (tRNA) molecules are approximately 80 nucleotides in length. Their secondary structure includes four short double-helical elements and three loops (D, anti-codon, and T loops).
Source: Rfam by way of RNAcentral